Long non-coding RNA from Alexandromys fortis (reed vole), 2008 nucleotides. RefSeq lists it as uncharacterized. Lineage: Eukaryota; Metazoa; Chordata; Mammalia; Rodentia; Cricetidae. The transcript has 2 exons. The record is from RefSeq and is a predicted model, not a curated record.
CCGGAAUCCCCGCCGUAGCCGCCCGCGGGCGUCCCCGAGGCCCCCAGUCCCCGGGCCCCUGCCACCCUAGCGCCGGCCCCACUCACCCUUUCAUUCUCCGCCCGCGGCCUGGCGUGGGCCGGCGAAUCCCCGGCCUCACAUCAGAGAGGCGCUGGCGGCGGACUAGGAAGCUCGGCUGCUACCGCUCUCGCCCUGGGCUUCAGCGGGAGCCUUUCCCUGUCGAACAAGAGGGGUGAGGAUCAUAUUUUUAUUUUGGGUCGGCGAUCAUUAGGGGGAAAUCCCUGAAUGUACUCUCCAGCCGAGAAGGCAGGGCUGCCCGGCUGCACUGGCAGGGGCAGCAGCCUCCUACAGCACCACUACAGGCACCGCGGGGACAUGACACCACGCAGCGGUCCUCUGCCCUCCGAAACGACAACUUUCCUACCAUCUUGGAGGCCGAGCAGAGAGGAGCUAAGGGGAAAAGUGCAACCGGCUGCGGAUAAAGUACAAAUCUCUACCUCUCCUCUCCGGAAAAAGUCCACACUCGCGGUCUACGCCGGCGCCUAGGGGGUCUGAAAAGCGGGGAAGAAAACAAGCAAGUUCAUUUGCUCCGUGGGGGGGGGGGAUGUUUCUGCACCUCUGAUGGGAAGAAAUCUUUACAAGACACAGGUUUUACGAUAUUAUUGUUUUCCAUUUUCAUUUUUCCCCCGGUGGUGACAGUGGUAGCUUAAUUUUUUUUUCUUCAGACUAAUUAUGAUUUUUCUCUGUGGCAGGCCCAAGUUCCGUCUGUGGUGGUCAGUCUGUAAAUUGGCACCUCAGAGACUUCAAGGUCACUUUAUCGUAUUUAUUUUGUUGCCCGUUUAUAUUGUAUGUGUGCGUGCUUAUGUUUUCAGGUUACAGUUAAGAUUUUGUGGUCUUGGUAUCCACGAAACUGAGGGUGCUGCAAGUCAGUUGUAAAGAGAUGUCUUUUGUCUUCUCUCAAAGCAAUGUAAGUCAAACCUAUUGACUGUCCAGAAAGACCUAAGAUAGCUGUUUAUUUUUUACAGUGCAAAUAAAAGCACCGUGUAUCCAAAGCGUCCUACAGCAGACCAAACCUGUGGUCUGUCUGCCCAAGAAGAAAGAUUACUCCACUAAACCUAGCGGUAGACUGAAAGAUGGUUUGGAUUUUCUUGAAGUAAAAUUAUUUAUUAAGAAUUACAUCUAGGAUGUCAUUUGCGUUACUUUCUUCAGUUUGUAUAGGUAGUUUAACGUUCAGGUCUUCGGUGCAUUAGGUACAGUUCUGUCUGCCUCUCUAACACAGAAUUGAAGGUGCGUUUGUCUUCCUAGUGUUGAAAUGUUCAGAACAUCCAGUGUAGUGCCAGCCUGUUGAGUAACUUUAUAGACUGCAGAGAUGUCAUGAAUUUACUUUUGGUUUUUUGAGUCCGGGUUUCUCUGUAGCUUUGGAACCUGUCCUGGAACUAGCUCUUGUAGACCAGGCUGACCCCGAGCUCACAGAGAUCCGCCUACCUCUGUCUCCAAGUGCUUAAAGUGAUUAAAGGCAUGCACCACCACCACCGGGCUAUGAAUUUACUUUUUUUUUUUUAGGUUCUGGGACUCAACACAAAACGAGGUGGACCUGGUCCAUGACUUCAUAUUCUAAUAUCUCUGUCUCUGUCUCCCAACACCAUCCCCGCCUGUCUGGUGACCAGCUGAUUUCAAUGAGCUGGACUGGAAAAAAGACAGUGACAAAGCAGGUGUGACUAGGUCAGACUGACAAGAGCCAGAGAUGUCUUUUUUUUGAUAGUUAUUGAGUUCCACAUUUUUCUCUGCUCCCCUCCCUGCCUCUCCUCCCACAAGGUCCCCAUGCCCCCAAUUUACUCAGGAGAUCUUGUCUUUUUCUACUUUCUACUUCCCAUGUAGAUUAGAUCUAUGUAAGUCUCUCUUAGUGUCCUCAUUGUUGUCUAAGUUCUCUGGGAUCGUGGUUUGUAGGCUGGCUUUCUUUGCUUUAUGUUUAAAAACCACUUAUGAGUAAGUACAUGUAAUAAUUGUU